CCAGAGGUGCGGCUUGCUC
Molecule: non-coding RNA, 19 nt
Filed under: Mus musculus (house mouse)
Lineage: Eukaryota; Metazoa; Chordata; Mammalia; Rodentia; Muridae
Source: RNAcentral